RNAcentral lists this ribosomal RNA (497 nucleotides) under uncultured bacterium. RNAcentral describes it as "partial 16S ribosomal RNA". It matches the Rfam family "Bacterial small subunit ribosomal RNA", at positions 28 to 507 of the family's 1533-position model. The record is from RNAcentral.
GAUGAACGCUGGCGGCGUGCCUAAUACAUGCAAGUCGAGCGAACAGAUGAGGAGCUUGCUCCUCUGACGUUAGCGGCGGACGGGUGAGUAACACGUGGAUAACCUACCUAUAAGACUGGGAUAACUUCGGGAAACCGGAGCUAAUACCGGAUAAUAUAUUGAACCGCAUGGUUCAAUAGUGAAAGACGGUUUUGCUGUCACUUAUAGAUGGAUCCGCGCCGCAUUAGCUAGUUGGUAAGGUAACGGCUUACCAAGGCAACGAUGCGUAGCCGACCUGAGAGGGUGAACGGCCACCCUGGGACUGAGACACGGUCCAGACUCCUACGGGAGGCAGCAGUAGGGAAUCUUCCGCAAUGGGCGAAAGCCUGACGGAGCAACGCCGCGUGAGUGAUGAAGGUCUUCGGAUCGUAAAACUCUGUUAUUAGGGAAGAACAAAUGUGUAAGUAACUAUGCACGUCUUGACGGUACCUAAUCAGAAAGCCACGGCUAACUACGUG